AUUACAGAGUUGCAAAACUCCCUAAACCAUUGUGAACGUUACCUAUACCGUUGCUUCGGCGGGCGGCCCCGGGGUUUACCCCCCGGGCGCCCCUGGGCCCCACCGCGGGCGCCCGCCGGAGGUCACCAAACUCUUGAUAAUUUAUGGCCUCUCUGAGUCUUCUGUACUGAAUAAGUCAAAACUUUCAACAACGGAUCUCUUGGUUCUGGCAUCGAUGAAGAACGCAGCGAAAUGCGAUAAGUAAUGUGAAUUGCAGAAUUCAGUGAAUCAUCGAAUCUUUGAACGCACAUUGCGCCCGCCAGCAUUCUGGCGGGCAUGCCUGUUCGAGCGUCAUUUCAACCAUCAAGCCCCCGGGCUUGUGUUGGGGACCUGCGGCUGCCGCAGGCCCUGAAAAGCAGUGGCGGGCUCGCUGUCGCACCGAGCGUAGUAGCAUACAUCUCGCUCUGGUCGCGCCGCGGGUUCCGGCCGUUAAACCACCUUUUAACCCAAGGUUGACCUCGGAUCAGGUAGGAAGACCCGCUGAACUUAAGCAUAUCAAUAAGCGGAGGAAAAGAAACCAACAGGGAUUGCCCUAGUAACGGCGAGUGAAGCGGCAACAGCUCAAAUUUGAAAUCUGGCUUCGGCCCGAGUUGUAAUUUGCAGAGGAAGCUUUAGGCGCGGCACCUUCUGAGUCCCCUGGAACGGGGCGCCAUAGAGGGUGAGAGCCCCGUAUAGUUGGAUGCCUAGCCUGUGUAAAGCUCCUUCGACGAGUCGAGUAGUUUGGGAAUGCUGCUCAAAAUGGGAGGUAAAUUUCUUCUAAAGCUAAAUACCGGCCAGAGACCGAUAGCGCACAAGUAGAGUGAUCGAAAGAUGAAAAGCACUUUGAAAAGAGGGUUAAAUAGCACGUGAAAUUGUUGAAAGGGAAGCGCUUGUGACCAGACUUGCGCCGGGCGGAUCAUCCGGU
RNAcentral lists this ribosomal RNA (943 nucleotides) under Chaetomium globosum. RNAcentral describes it as "eukaryotic LSU rRNA". The stretch from base 493 to 943 matches the Rfam family "Eukaryotic large subunit ribosomal RNA", at positions 1 to 457 of the family's 3401-position model. RNAcentral also lists the same sequence under 1 other name. Lineage: Eukaryota; Fungi; Ascomycota; Sordariomycetes; Sordariales; Chaetomiaceae. The record is from RNAcentral.